This is a long non-coding RNA of Oreochromis niloticus (Nile tilapia), 1262 nucleotides long. RefSeq lists it as uncharacterized. The transcript is spliced from 4 exons. The record is from RefSeq and is a predicted model, not a curated record. Lineage: Eukaryota; Metazoa; Chordata; Actinopteri; Cichliformes; Cichlidae.
AUUGGCAUGAAGUCUAGGCCUCGGUGUCACAGCUGACUCGGCCAGUUGUUAAAAGUGGACUCAAGCCAGUUCUCGAGUUUUCUAGAGGAAGCUUCCAGAGAAAUGGACCAGCUCAACAGGAACAGGUUGGAUAUGUAGCUCUCUUUGUAGUGGCUCAGACGCCCUGCUGCCUCUAUCCUCUCGUUGGCGUGAUGGCUGUUUUUCUCUGUGCCCCCUCCUCAACCUCCAGAUGCCACAACAAGAAAGAGACAGCUGCUCGUGUGUGUACAAAAGAUGGAAACUAUCCUAACGCACCAUAAAUCAACUCUUGUGGCCAUUUUGUGGAACACGCAGUAUUUUGGGGACACUUCAUCAAGCACACUUUCUUUUUUGUUCACGUCUUCAUUGAGUUUGCAGUUCAUUCACAUCAUUUGAGCAUUCAUAAUGUUGCUGACAACUGCAUUGUGUGAGCCGAAGCUAAAUUUAGAGUGUUAAUUAACCAAGCGCUCACUCCUGCUCUGGUUGUUCUUGCAGUUUGAUUUGUUUGUGUCACCCGGAGCAGACGCCUCCCUCAUACUCUGCCAGUGAUCUUGUGGUAUUAAAUAUCUGGAAGUGUGUAAUGUAAAUGUAUCCAAGAAUGUGCAUAGAUUAUUCUUGUCAUAUGCGGACUAAGUAUCGCUGAUUAAAUUUAAGACAAAUUGUCACAGUCUUCCCUCUUUUAUGAACUAAAGAUGUUUAUUUUUGUUCUUUUAAUGUGGCAUGCUGAUUAAUUGUUGCCUAGCAACUCUGUUUCCUAGCUAUCCUUUGUCCCAUCACAGAUUGUCGGCUAGCCCUAACCCAACCAAAAUACCAGUGCCACAGUUUGAUAUUUGUUGAACUUGUGUAAAUAUUUGUGUCAAUGGAAAAAAAAAAAAGUGUGGCAUGAAUUCAUCCAAGGCAGCAGGACCACAGUCCCAGUCUCAGCCUCACACACAGUGGUGGACGGAUCAGCACUGUUGCCUCACAGUUUGAAUGACAAAGCUCUGUGAUGGACUGGUAACCUGUCCAUCCGGCCUUAUCACAGCUUGGAUAGAUUCCAGCACCCAGCUACCCUGAAUUGGGACUACAAUAAGCUACAAGAUGUGCUUUGUCACUACAUGAUGUCUGUUUCUCCCAGGAGAUACCAAACAGACCGAGCAAUGUCUGUCUCCAUCUCUGUGUGCAUGUUUGCAGCAUCUGUUCCAUCACUGCUGGUUUACUGGUUGAUGAAUAAACAAACAGUUACCAGAUUUGUCUUGGCUGUG